RNAcentral lists this unclassified non-coding RNA (396 nucleotides) under uncultured fungus. RNAcentral describes it as "sequence contains ITS1". The stretch from base 1 to 101 matches the Rfam family "5.8S ribosomal RNA", at positions 50 to 154 of the family's 154-position model. Lineage: Eukaryota; Fungi. The record is from RNAcentral.
GAAGUGCGAAAAGUGUCAUGACUUGCAGAUUCCCGAGAGCUGACAAAUUUCUGAAUGCAAAUGGCGGACCGGUAAAAACGGCCAUGUAUUGCAGAGUGUAGUUGUUCCUACUCUUCAUCCCCCACAUCUUAUGUAUGUCCACAUAUAUAUCUGCCAAGUGCAAUGUGGUGAUUGGGAUCUGCGCUUGCAAUGAUACCAGUGGUACUUACCACUUGGAUUUGCGAGUGUUGAAUUGGAGUGUCUGCUGACUUCCUGCAUCAGGAUUGUUCAGUAGACUGCUUCGCAAGCUAUCUCUCGUAGAUUCUUCAAGAAUCGACUGGGGAAAACGUGUGAAGUUGAAUAUCUCUCAUCUUUUGACACCUACCUCUGCAAUGCAAGAGAACCCGCUGAACUUAA